RNAcentral lists this transfer RNA (73 nucleotides) under Treponema sp. Its description in RNAcentral is "tRNA-Met". It matches the Rfam family "tRNA". From Rfam's summary of the family: Transfer RNA (tRNA) molecules are approximately 80 nucleotides in length. Their secondary structure includes four short double-helical elements and three loops (D, anti-codon, and T loops). Further hydrogen bonds mediate the characteristic L-shaped molecular structure. tRNAs have two regions of fundamental functional importance: the anti-codon, which is responsible for specific mRNA codon recognition, and the 3' end, to which the tRNAs corresponding amino acid is attached (by aminoacyl-tRNA synthetases). tRNAs cope with the degeneracy of the genetic code in two manners: having more than one tRNA (with a specific anti-codon) for a particular amino acid; and 'wobble' base-pairing, i.e. permitting non-standard base-pairing at the 3rd anti-codon position. Lineage: Bacteria; Pseudomonadati; Spirochaetota; Spirochaetia; Treponematales; Treponemataceae. The record is from RNAcentral.
CGCGGGGUAGAGCAGUUGGCAGCUCGUCAGGCUCAUAACCUGAAGGUCGGUGGUUCGAGUCCACCCUCCGCUA